GUGAAUCAUCAAAUUUUUGAACGCAAAUUGCACUCUCUGGUAUUCCGGAGAGUAUGCCUGUUUGAGGGUCAGUUUUAAUAUAAAUCGAGGUGUUGCUGUGUUGUGACCGAUCGGAAUUGGGGUAUAGUUGACCUUUUAAAAAGUUUAAGUGACCUAUAAUUGAUAGCUUGUGCAUCUCAGUAGUACUUUAGAUUAUUUUUUUAUGCGUCCGGAGUUGCCUAUUUUUUAUUUGGUAUGACCAUGCUG
RNAcentral lists this unclassified non-coding RNA (246 nucleotides) under Glomeraceae sp. Its description in RNAcentral is "partial contains 5.8S ribosomal RNA and internal transcribed spacer 2". The stretch from base 1 to 71 matches the Rfam family "5.8S ribosomal RNA", at positions 84 to 154 of the family's 154-position model. Lineage: Eukaryota; Fungi; Glomeromycota; Glomeromycetes; Glomerales; Glomeraceae. The record is from RNAcentral.